CUGACCUCAAAUCAGGUAGGAUUACCCGCUGAACUUAAGCAUAUCAAUAAGCGGA
Molecule: ribosomal RNA, 55 nt
Filed under: Clitopilus hobsonii
Lineage: Eukaryota; Fungi; Basidiomycota; Agaricomycetes; Agaricales; Entolomataceae
Description: partial 28S ribosomal RNA
Rfam family: Eukaryotic large subunit ribosomal RNA
Source: RNAcentral